AUAGUACUCCCUCCGUCCCAAAAUUCUUGUCUUAAAUUUAUCUAGAUAUGGAUGUAUCUAAUACUAAAACAUGACUUGAUACAUCGGUAUUUAGACAAAUCUAAGACAAUAAUUUUGGGACGGAGGGAGUAUAAA
Molecule: non-coding RNA, 135 nt
Organism: Triticum urartu
Lineage: Eukaryota; Viridiplantae; Streptophyta; Magnoliopsida; Poales; Poaceae
Source: Rfam